This 3989-nucleotide unclassified non-coding RNA is filed under the name Priapulus caudatus. Its description in RNAcentral is "phosphatidylinositol 3,4,5-trisphosphate 3- phosphatase TPTE2-like, transcript variant X4". The record is from RNAcentral. Lineage: Eukaryota; Metazoa; Priapulida; Priapulimorpha; Priapulimorphida; Priapulidae.
CUGUGGCAUGUUGCUGUGUUUACAUCGGAGCGACAGUCUCCUAACGCUUGACUCCAACAUGGUGCGUGUGACGUAUGCGCAGUUUGAGGAUGAGAAGCAGUGUGACGUCACUGUUAGCGAACCGCAGUCGCCCGAUGGAACGAUCCAUGUGGAGUAUGGGCUGCGAGCUGACGACUUCCUGGAGGACGAACACCUUUCUUGCUGGAGGAACAUUCGAGCAGAAAUUGCAAAGUUUGUCGACCAUUUCGCUGUACGCGUCACAAGUUUGUUGCUGGUUGCUGUCGACAUCAUCAUCGUCGUCAUCGACAUCGCUCUCGGCAACGACAACCUGCAUCGCACGUUCGGUACCAUUUCGCUCGUGCUCGUUAGCAUCUUCAUGGUCGAAAUCACCCUCCGCAUCAUUGGCAAGGGGAAGAAUUUUUUCAAGGAGUGGUAUAAUGUAGUCGACUUGGUUGUUACGUUGGUGACUUUCAUCAUCAGCAUUGUCUACCUGGCGUUAGAGAACAGCACACGUUUCCUACAUAUGAUUGAUGAAGACCUGCUUCUUACUGAUCGCACCACCAGACUUGUGGUCAUCGGUCGACUUAUUCGAGUUGUUCGAUUCCUAAGACUGUUCUCUGAGAAAGAGCAGACAAUCGCAGCUGCACGGCGCAUGAUAUCUGAAAACAAGCGGCGCUACCGACAGGAUGGGUUUGACCUUGACCUUACCUAUGUUACAGAUCGUGUCAUUGCCAUGUCAUUUCCAUCAACGGGCAAAAUGGCUCUCUACAGAAAUCCAAUUGGGGAGGUAGCCCGGUUUUUGAACUCAAAGCACAAAGAUCACUACAUGAUUUAUAACUUAUGCAGUGAAAGAACUUACGAUGUGAGUAAGUUCCAUGGACGCGUGGAAAGAGUUAUGAUAGAUGACCAUAACGUUCCAAAGCUCAGUGACAUGUUGAAGUAUGUGCAAAGUGUGAGCGACUUUAUCAAUGCUGAUCCAGCCAAUGUGAUUGCAGUGCACUGCAAGGGGGGGAAAGGUCGCACAGGUACCAUGAUCUGUGUGUGGUUGGUGCAGAGUGGCCUAUUUGAAGAGGCACAGGACAGUCUGGAUUAUUUUGGCUUCAGACGUACAGAUCUGAGCAUGAGUCAGAAGUUUCAGGGGGUUGAGACUCCUAGUCAGAGCAGGUUUGUCGGCUAUUACGAACAGGUGAAAACCAAGUAUAAUCACCAGCUUCCCCCAGACAAGUUCAUCAAGAUUGAUUCCAUCACUAUACACGGCAUAGCAGGUCUAGGAAACGGCGAUGGUAGUGAUCUUUACUUUAAGAUCUUUGACACAAACAAGAUCUGUGUUCUGGAGGGCGAUGUGGGAAUGUACAGAAAUUGUCAGGUACAGCACGCUCCACUGCAAGACAUGGUGAAGGUUGACCUCCACAAGUGUCCUACACUCUCACAGGAAGUGAAGGUCAUGUUCUGGUCAAGGGUGAAAAAGGUUCCAUGUGAAUAUGACGACUGCGCCUUCUACUUUUGGUUUCACACUUCAUUUGUUGAAAACAGAUUACUCAUACCAAGGAAUGAGCUUGACAAUCCACAUAAACCAAAGACUUGGUCACACUACAAGGACAAGUUUUCUGUAGAGUUGGUAUUCAGUCGAGGCGAGACACAUGGCUCUCUACGAGUAAGCCCAGUAUGAUAUAUACUACCCACCAGUUUACACAUAUUGCUGCCUCAGUGCAUUGUUAGCUAUGGUGAACUAACCACUGCCACUAGUACUCCCAUGCUGAAAAGCCCGUGUGUCAUCUACAUGGUGAAUGUACUACACUCCUCCUAUACUGAAUCUGGUCUCAAGAGGCCACCAGCAUCACAGGUUAAGCUCAUGUGCUCACAGAUUAAGCUCACUCAUGUGAAUUACCCAUUGGUAAUUAGCAACACCUGCUUCUUGCCGAGGCCGUUAUUGAUUAAGUGGUUCAGGAGCAACAUGGUGAAAUAACUGCUUUUAUGUGUGCCGCAAGAGUUCAGUUUGCCAGAUUGAUCUGACACACAGAUGUCAUCCAGCCCUCUGUGUGACAAUAAUAUACAUACAGAUGUAGAAAACAAACUUGUGUAGAAUCACAGAUACUCUUCACACUGAGCAUCAACAAAGAAAAUGCUUUUUUAGACAAUCAUGCGUACGUAGAAUGUUUAGUACUUGUGGUUGAUGUGAAAUGCAUAUUUUUUCAAUUUAUACAGUCUUUCUUCGCUAUAAGGCGUACGUCGUGCCAUAUAGUGCAUGUCCAUGGCACGUGAUGCAUCUGGCUUUUUAUAGUAAUGCAAUGGAAUAUAAUGUCCUAAAAUAUCUUGUCUGAAAUUGUAAUUAUGUCUGUAAUAAUAAUUAUCCUGAUACGUUGGGUUAUAAAAAGACCCAGACAAUGAAUGUUAUUUAUUGCUUAGUAUAUGUGCUCUAUCAAGGCUUGAGUUUGGAGAGAGUGUGAACUGCAUUUACAGGAUACUGUUACUGGUAUAGGCGAAAGAGAAUAGAAUAGAAACAUUAAGACUUUGGUAGUAAAUACAGUUCGUGUUUAUUUACCAUCAUUUUAUUAUUGAAUGUUCCAAAUGCCUGUGUGUCAAACCAUGUCUUCCAAAAAUGUCUGAAGUUUGGCCUUGGCCCCACUGCCCUUUGACCUCCAAUUUUGCCAAGGUGACGGAUUUUCUCCCUAUGACUCUAUCUGCCAAAUAUCAGGAGCAUAGGUCAAGCCAUUUACUUUUGUGCCGCAAUAUUGAAAUUCCCCAAAACUGGUCUUAUACCUUACCCUUAAGUCAAGGUGGGAAUAUUCCCCCUUUCUUCCUCCUUUCUAGCCUUUGUUGAUCCCCCAAUUUCGAUCUCCUAAUGCAUUUUUGGAUUUCCCCCUACGUCCCGUGAAUGACAACACCAUCAUCAAGCCUGUCAGUAACAUCAAUGUUAAGCCUUCCCCUUGAGAGUCAACAGGUCACCAGUCAGCUAUUCUUUGCACAUUGGUGGAAAGUGCAUUUCAUUGCCCUAUCAAUAAAGCCAUAAAAACUGGUCACCACUGAAACGAGUUUUAUUUCACUUGCUCCGUCAGACCAUGUCUUCAGAGACUGUCUAAAAUCUGUCCUUGGUCAUACUGCCCUUUGACCUGUGACAGCAAGCUUUUGUGACCAUUAUGGAUUUUUACCAUUAUGCUAUAUAUACCCAAUAUCAAGAGCAUAGGCCAAACCGUUUACAUUUGUGCCGCAAUUACACAUUUCCUCCUUUACUGUCAUCAGAUAGAGACGAAAGGCAGGAGGUCUCGUUGUCAGUAGUUUAUUCAGUGAAAAACUAAAAAUGAAAAUACAGAGAAUACGUUCUUACUACAUACUACAGCUGUAUCCUACGUAAACAGUAAUUGUUCUCUUAGAAAACCGCGCGAAUAUAUAAACUCGAAUUGAAUGUAAUUUAGCUAUCAGAUUGAACGUACACCUAUUCUGCAUCUACGUCAACACUAUGAAUAUGACACAUGCUUUCUGAAGUUAUAAUAAUACUGCAGUAGAACGUUAGCACUAAAAAACUUACAUUUUGGCAUGCCGACGCUCGAUGGGACAGUAGCGGUGACACCGACAGUAGUGUACGCGCGAAGCAAAACAGGCUUUACAUAUAAAGGGUACGCUAUGAAACACGGGAAUUAAACAUGUGGCGCCCUCACCACUAAACUGAUUAUUCAAACAGGUACAAAUACAAACGUACCGUACAAAUACAUAUAAAUACUGCUGCGAUUAACCUCCUAUACCGGAAAUUAAGUGGGGAAUAAUACCCCUUCCUUCCCCCUUUCUAGCCUUUAACCCUUGCCCCCCCCCCCUGUGAUUCGAUAUCCCAAUGUUUUUUUGGAUUGCCCCCUACGUCCAGAAUAUCGACAACGUAUAUCAAGCCAUUUAGAUUUGCGCCCAUAGUGUUGAUGGGUAGACGAACAGACAAAGGGACAGACGGAUGGAUGCUAAUGCUACAAGCUGCAUCUGAUUGUGUCAGAUAAGCUAAACAA